RNAcentral lists this ribosomal RNA (216 nucleotides) under uncultured Arenimonas sp. Its description in RNAcentral is "partial 16S ribosomal RNA". It matches the Rfam family "Bacterial small subunit ribosomal RNA", at positions 907 to 1122 of the family's 1533-position model. The record is from RNAcentral. Lineage: Bacteria; Pseudomonadati; Pseudomonadota; Gammaproteobacteria; Lysobacterales; Lysobacteraceae.
GAAUUGACGGGGGCCCGCACAAGCGGUGGAGUAUGUGGUUUAAUUCGAUGCAACGCGCAGAACCUUACCUGGCCUUGACAUGUCCGGAAUCCUGCAGAGAUGCGGGAGUGCCUUCGGGAAUCGGAACACAGGUGCUGCAUGGCUGUCGUCAGCUCGUGUCGUGAGAUGUUGGGUUAAGUCCCGCAACGAGCGCAACCCUUGUCCUUAGUUGCCAGC